CCCUUAGAUGUUCUGGGCCGCAUGCGUGCUACACUGAGUGGAUCAGCGGGUCAGGUUACGCGAGAGCGUUUCCUAAUCUUCAAAUCCGCUCGUGAUGGGGAUUGACGGUUGCAAUUUUCCGUCAUGAACGAGGAAUACCUUGUAAGCGCGGGUCAUCAUCCCGCGCUGAAUACGUCCCUGCCCUUUGUACACACCGCCCGUCGCUCCUACCGAUUGAGUGGUCCGGUGAGGCUUUGGGAUCUAAGCGAAAAGAGCGUUUCGCUCCUUUUGCUGGGAGAACUCAGUCGAACCUUAUCAUUUAGAGGAAGGAGAAGUCGUAACA
RNAcentral lists this ribosomal RNA (322 nucleotides) under uncultured eukaryote. Its description in RNAcentral is "partial 18S ribosomal RNA". It matches the Rfam family "Eukaryotic small subunit ribosomal RNA", at positions 1470 to 1796 of the family's 1831-position model. The record is from RNAcentral.